AUUGAACGCUGGCGGCAUGCCUUACACAUGCAAGUCGAACGGCAGCACGGGUGCUUGCACCUGGUGGCGAGUGGCGAACGGGUGAGUAAUAUAUCGGAACGUACCUUAUUGUGGGGGAUAACGCAGCGAAAGCUGUGCUAAUACCGCAUAAUCCCUAAGGGGGAAAGCGGGGGACCGUAAGGCCUCGCGCAAUUAGAGCGGCCGAUACCUGAUUAGCUAGUUGGUGAGGCAAAGGCUCACCAAGGCAACGAUCAGUAGCUGGUCUGAGAGGACGAUCAGCCACACUGGGACUGAGAAACGGCCCAGACUCCUACGGGAGGCAGCAGUGGGGAAUUUUGGACAAUGGGGGCAACCCUGAUCCAGCAAUGCCGCGUGAGUGAAGAAGGCCUUCGGGUUGUAAAGCUCUUUUGUCAGGGAAGAAACAGCAGCUCUAACACAGUUUGCGAAUGACGGUACCUGAAGAAUAAGCACCGGCUAACUACGUGCCAGCCGCCGCAGUAA
This 501-nucleotide ribosomal RNA is filed under the name uncultured bacterium. Its description in RNAcentral is "partial 16S ribosomal RNA". It matches the Rfam family "Bacterial small subunit ribosomal RNA", at positions 30 to 523 of the family's 1533-position model. The record is from RNAcentral.